This is a non-coding RNA of Pantherophis guttatus, 386 nucleotides long. Lineage: Eukaryota; Metazoa; Chordata; Lepidosauria; Squamata; Colubridae. The record is from RefSeq and is a predicted model, not a curated record.
UUUCGCCGAUUUGCUGGUGGCAGAAGAAGACAACAAAUCUGCAAGGCUUCAGUAGCUAGCUUCUUUUCCUGCAAGAUUCCUGAAUCAAAACAUGAUUUUAAAAGAGCUGAGGUGGCACAGUGGUUAGAGUGCAGUACUAGUUCAGCUGACUGCUAGUUCAGCAGAUCAGCGGAUCAAAUCUCACCGGCUCAAGGUUGACUCAGCCUUCCAUCCUUCCAAGCUGUAAGGAAAAGGAAAUGUAUGUUGGGACCCAACAUUAAAAGCUUCAAGCUGAACUAUUUUCAUCACCCAAAAACAUUUGAGAUUAUCCUACUUGGAUAAGUUGUCUAUAUAGAAUGGCCGUGCUGCUGAAAUAAUUGGAAAUUUAUCUUUCCUGUGGAACUCUG